RNAcentral lists this long non-coding RNA (244 nucleotides) under Lathyrus oleraceus (garden pea). RNAcentral's name for it is "Pisum sativum (pea) long non-coding RNA (PSAT_LNC019531)". Lineage: Eukaryota; Viridiplantae; Streptophyta; Magnoliopsida; Fabales; Fabaceae. The record is from RNAcentral.
CACGUCCUUCUCAAAAGAACCCUCGGGCACUUCAUUUCACACUGGUUCUUCUUCAACCACAACUUGUUUUCCUUUUAUUCUAGCAAGAGCCUCAACAUUGUUAUCCUUCGGAACCUGUGGUGCAAAUAAACGCCCACUUCUCGUAAAUCCUCCGGGUCCUCCCACAUUACCCACAGCAGAACCAACUGUUACUGGAGUCUUAUUUGACGAACCAAUCGUCACUGGAGUUUGAUUUACUGAUCUG